This is a long non-coding RNA of Raphanus sativus (radish), 1406 nucleotides long. RefSeq lists it as uncharacterized. Lineage: Eukaryota; Viridiplantae; Streptophyta; Magnoliopsida; Brassicales; Brassicaceae. The record is from RefSeq and is a predicted model, not a curated record. The transcript is spliced from 2 exons.
CGAUGUGAGCAUUGGGUGAUCUUCACUCUCCAUAUCAGAGUGACAUAACAGCUGAUGAACAACAACAACAACAACCUAAGCGUCACCAGAUUCAAGAGCUAUAGUUACCAUUGGAACCUGAGGCUCUUGCAAUAGUUGUAUCACUUAACGAGAAACCUAAGCGUGCAGAGGUUGCACAGCGCAAAACAAGGAGACCCUGAGAUGAUCUCAGUCGUCUAGAAGAGAUGGCGUCAGGAAAGCCUCAUGUUCUUCCUAAAAAGCAACCUUUCUAAUGGAGAGAACUUUAUAUGUUGGAGUCAAUGAACGUCACUCACUCGCUAUUCACGCUUUGAUUUUAUAUAGUUACUUUUAGUCAUUUUCAUUCUGUUUCUAGCUUUAAACGUGUUGGUAAUGUGAUAUAUAUUCCUCAUCUUCUAUUGAUUCAAGGGGAAAUAUGCCUUGGAUACUUAAUCCUCAGCUAGCUCGAUUGUUGUAGUUUAUCUUUAUACUGCAUGCUGGACAUGAAAUCAACUACUCUACCUAUCUAUGUACUCAUCAUUAGGUGUAUUUUUUUCACGAAUAAGUAUAUUGUCCACUAAAAUUGGGGUGAGUAUUUGAAUUUUUUUUUCAUCACUUAGUUUCUUAGAAAGUAGUGUUUGCUCUUUAGGAAAAUAUCAUUUGUGUAAGCCUAUUGUGUUCAGGGCAUAUCAACCAAGUUUCUUACGGUGAAGAGCAUUAACAGAAGAGGGUUCAUAACAACUAUCAUAACACCUCCGCGCCAAGCCAAAGCAUUUUGUGUGAUCUCAAAGGUAGAAUGAUUGAAACUGAGAUUGCAGCUUGAGAAAAACAGCAGAAAGAGAUUGAAUCAACUAAGGAAUUAAUUAGGCUUGGCGCGGGUGAAAACUUUGGUUGUGUUCAACAACUGCCGAAAAGAUUAGGUGGUUGAAAUGCUUCAAUGAUUUCCUAAGCUACAACAGCUCCAGUAACAUGAUUAUAUGAUUCUAGCUCACGUUUCUUCCUGCGGAAGAGGGGGAAUCUUGCUAGACAAUAUCCUCUUACCCAGACGUGAUGAGCUGCUUCCAUUUCAAGAAGAUAUCAAUGGCGGACUAAAGAACAAGUGUUGGUGUCUGAAAUAACAGAGAGAAAGUACUUGCAGAAAAAGUAAGCAUAUUAGGUAAUAGACAGUUGAUGAGAAAGAAAAAAAGUGGGAAGGUUGAGUCGGGGAUCAAUGGCAAAGACACUACAGAUGAAGAAGAAGAAGCGGAGAAGACUGAUAUUACCCUAGACGUAAUUUCCCGGUUGACAAUGAUGACAUGCAGUUUUAGUUUUCUAUCACCUCUUUGUAUUGAUAUAAAUUAGUUUCUUUCGUCUGUAAGGCAAAAGAGUUCCAUAGUUUAGUGUCCUAAUAAUAUCUUCCAUUAAUCUAA